AGAGUUUGAUCCUGGCUCAGGAUGAACGCUGGCGGCGUGCCUAACACAUGCAAGUCGAACGUCCUGUGGGCUUUCGGGCGCACAGGGAGUGGCGGACGGGUGAGUAACACAUGGGUGACCUAUCUUUCAGUGAGGAAUACCGGCGAGAAAUCGCCGACAAGACCGCAUGCGCUCUCUUUCGUGGAGGAAGGGAGGAAAGCCGCAAGGCGCUGGAAGCUGGGCCCGUGGCCGAUUAGCUAGUUGGUGGGGUAAGGGCCCACCAAGGCAACGAUCGGUAGCUGGUCUGAGAGGACGAGCAGCCACACUGGGAUUGAGAACGGCCCAGACUCCUACGGGGGGCAGCAGUGAGGAAUUUUCGGCAAUGGGCGCAAGCCUGACCGAGCAACGCCGCGUGCAGGACGAAGGUCUUCGGAUCGUAAACUGCUUUUCUCGGGGACGAGCAAGGACGGUACCCGAGGAACCAGCCCCGGCUAACUACGUGCCAGCAGCCGCGGUAAUACGUAGGGGGCGAGCGUUGUCCGGAGUUACUGGGCGUAAAGGGCACGCAGGCGGUCGUGUCAGUUUGGGGUAACAGCUCCCGGCUCAACUGGGAGAGUGCCUCGAAGACGGCACGACUUGAGGGCCAGAGAGGGACACAGAAUUCCGGGUGGAGUGGUGAAAUGCGUAGAUAUCCGGAGGAAUACCAAAGGCGAAGGCAGUGUCCUGGCUGGUAACUGACGCUGAGGUGCGAAAGCGAGGGGAGCGAACGGGAUUAGAUACCCCGGUAGUCC
RNAcentral lists this ribosomal RNA (770 nucleotides) under uncultured bacterium. Its description in RNAcentral is "bacterial SSU rRNA". It matches the Rfam family "Bacterial small subunit ribosomal RNA", at positions 8 to 796 of the family's 1533-position model. The record is from RNAcentral.